GAUAGGAGGCGAUGUUAGACAUGGUAGAGACAAACUAGGUUGCCGGUCUAGUUUAAAAGAUCAUAAAAAAAAAUGGUGUUUGGCUCUAAGAUGGCAUCAGCGAGGGUCAAAAACCGCUACGAGAGUCUUUUUGUUUUGCAUUUGUGGGCUCUGAGGAGAGAGAGAGAGAGUCAGAGCUAGACAAGGAGGGAGCGAGGGUGUAGCCGCGGCGGGGGUGUCGGUUGGGGCGGCCGCUUGAGCGGGAGAGGGGGUGGCGGCGGCGUGAGGUGGGAGAGGGAGGGAGGGAGUGAAGUCGAAGAGAGGGGUGGGAUCCAGCCCCCCGGCGUCUAGCUCGUCCAGUCCGGGCUAGGCGCCGCGUCGGUUCCCGAAGCUCGUCCCGGCGCGGCCCUCUCCUCGGAGACACACGACGGCGGGGGACCAAGGGAGAAGAGGAGAGACACGGCGGCCCUCUCCUCGAGCAGUUCGGUUCUGGCUGCGGCACACCACCCCGCGCCCCCUAAGAAGAAGGUGAGGCCGCGGAGGACGGGGAGGCCACCGGCUAAGGACACGAAGAAUAUGAGGCCGUGUCCACUUUAACUCCUCGUGUCGUAUUGUGUUCUUUUAACUUGGAGAGGAAGGAUACCCCCUAACAAAACUAAAGUUGAUACCGAAAGCACUUUACGUCUUGGACUGACCUUUUUUCGGAUUGAAUCUAACUGUGUUACUAUAACUCCUCAUGUCGUCAUUGUGCUCGUUUAAGUCGGAAAGAAGUAUACCUCCUAGCACAACUAAAGUUCAUACUGCCACAGUUGUUACUCUCGUUUCUCGCAUUCCCUCCCGUACCGUAGGGUUUCCAAAGGUACCAGGGUGAACAGAAGGAGUAUAAGAUACUUCAGAGUCCCCCAGGGAAACCCUAACUCCUGUCACAGUUCCGACGACCUGGUGAGGACCGUUAACACCCCAAAGAAGACAAACGCGAGUAUACCUCAUAAGGUCUUCGGGAUUAGUGUCGACUCUACCCAUGAUACAAAGGACUCUUACCACCGAUACAGCAGACCCAGAGAAGUCGAGAACCCGGGAAAACCCCAAAAGUCGUUCCGACCCGUUUCACCGAGUCACCACAGUAUCUAUUACGAGAGAUAGGUCAGGAAAAAGAACUGAUACAGUUCAGGUCAUAAGGUCGAGAGCCCCCACCCGAAGGUUCCUGAAAACGCCACGAAUAGGAGUGUCAACGGGAAUGAAUGUACUUGAUGUCUCCUAAUUGCUAUCAACCGACCCACCGUCAGAAAGAACCCCACAAGAGAGACGAGGGAAAGAAACAUUACCCUAACUAUCGUUAAGGUGUAUAACUUGGAAGUUCUACCAAACUUUACCUGGACCUGUUACACUUAACCCCGGACAUAGACUUGUGAGACAAAACCUUGGAGUUGAUAACCCUAAGUUAGUCAUGUAACCGACCUCUCCAACUCUUAGGUUUCUCUUGGGAGGGGUCCCGUGAAAGAAUACGAGAACAAAAUCAUCAGCCCCCUAUGGAGAUGGGAGACUAGUGAACAUGUCGUCGUGAAGGCCAACAAGCCCUCAGCACCUGUCUGCCUAUAAAAAGUCUGUAACGUUUUUAAGAACCACCAAAGACCAACGUGAGUACCUAAGUUCGCCGCCGGCGUAACAGCUUGUACCCGUUGAAACAAUGACUUUACUCGUCACUAAGUAUGGUCGAAGACCCCUACCGACUCGCACCGUACGAGGGACUCAAGAAGCCGUUCUCUAGUGCGAUGCCCUGGGGUGACUAGCCGUAGGACAAGAGGCGCAAGCCACACCAGGACGACAGGACCUACUCGAAGGUCCUCUAGUAACGCCGACUCUUGAUGGAGAUGACGAAGCCCUACUAUAACCUCAAGUAGCGGAAGUAGUUCGACUCCUACUGGGUGGGAUCGUGGAGGGCCGGAAAGGCCUAGGGCGACCCGUGGCAACCGAGGCAGGACUACUAGUAGGGAGGCUGAUAGGACUAACAGCACCACUACCACGACCGAAGGAAGUUCCACUACCGACACUCGUAGGACCGCCACGAGCAGCCCAAACGCGACGUUGGCCGGGACCACAUGUACCUCUUCUUCGCCACCGACUCCAAGAGGCAGUCUCUCCUGGACGGGCUAGACGACCUGGGGAGCCGACCGCGGCGGCUUCUACUCUGCUGGGGCGAACACCAUACUAAAUACUACGUUUCACAUUAUUUUCCUAUCCUUGUACGACGGGACAUAUUACGGUACACCGUAGUAUAUACGACAACAUAUGGUUGAACAAGCAGUACUUUUUCUUUAUCUUCUCGUACGACUCGCGGAAAUCUUUGUAGUUUCCGCGUGGAGUCUGAGAUAAACCGGAUUAGAGUAGACACUGACAUACAUCUAUAGUAAUACUAUCUGCAGGC
RNAcentral lists this ribosomal RNA (2404 nucleotides) under Triticum aestivum (bread wheat). Its description in RNAcentral is "partial small subunit ribosomal RNA". The record is from RNAcentral. Lineage: Eukaryota; Viridiplantae; Streptophyta; Magnoliopsida; Poales; Poaceae.